CAGUCGCCGCGGUAAUACAGAGGAUGCAAGCGUUGUCCGGAAUAAUUGGGCGUAAAGCGUCUGUAGGUGGCUUUUCAAGUCCGCCAUCAAAUCCCAGGGCUCAACCCUGGACAGGCGGUGGAAAGUACCAAGCUGGAGUACGGUAGGGGCAGAGGGAAUUUCCGGUGGAGCGGUGAAAUGCGUUGAGAUUGGAAAGAACACCAACGGUGAAAGCACUCUGCUGGGCCGACACUGACACUGAGAGACGAAAGCUAGGGGAGCAAAUGGGAUUAGAUACCCCGUAGUCCCUGUCUCUUAUACC
Molecule: ribosomal RNA, 301 nt
Filed under: uncultured bacterium
Lineage: Bacteria
Description: partial 16S ribosomal RNA
Rfam family: Bacterial small subunit ribosomal RNA
Source: RNAcentral